This 424-nucleotide ribosomal RNA is filed under the name uncultured bacterium. RNAcentral describes it as "bacterial SSU rRNA". It matches the Rfam family "Bacterial small subunit ribosomal RNA", at positions 355 to 776 of the family's 1533-position model. The record is from RNAcentral.
UGGGGAAUAUUGGGCAAUGGAGGGAACUCUGACCCAGCGACGCCGCGUGGGGGAUGAAGGUCUUCGGAUUGUAAACUCCUGUCAUUGGGGACUAAUGGCCAGGCUCAUACCCUGGUUUGAAUUAACCCAAAGAGGAAGCAGUGGCUAACUCUGUGCCAGCAGCCGCGGUAAUACAGAGACUGCAAGCGUUACUCGGAUUCACUGGGCGUAAAGGGAGCGCAGGCGGGAUAGUGUGUCAGGCGUGAAAUCUCGGGGCUCAACCCCGAGGCUGCGCCCGAAACUACUAUUCUAGAAACUUGGAGAGGUAAGCGGAAUUCUUGGUGGAGCAGUGAAAUGCGUAGAUAUCAAGAGGAACACCAACGGCGAAGGCAGCUUACUGGACAAGAUUUGACGCUCAGGCUCGAAAGCGUGGGGAGCAAAAAGG